AGAGUUCGACCUUGGCUCAGGAUGAACGCUAGCGGCAUGCUUAACACAUGCAAGCCGGACGAGAAGUGGUGUUUCCAAUGGUGGACGGAUGAGUAACGUGUAAGAACCUACCCUUAGGAGGGGAACAACAGUUGGAAACGGGUGCUAAUACCCGGUAGGCUAAGGAGAAAAAGGAGGAAUCCACCCGAGGAGGGGCUCGCGUCAGAUUAGUUAGUUGGUGAGGCAAUAGCUUACCAAGGUGAUGAUCAGUAGCUGGUCCGAGAGGAUGAUUAGCCACACUGGGACUGAGACACGGCCUAGACUCCUACGGGAGGAAGCAGUGGGAAAUUUUCCGCAAGGGGCGAAAGCCUGAUGGAGCAAUGCCGCGUAGAGGUAAAAGGCCUAUGGGUCGUGAACUUCUUUUCCCGCAGAAGAAGGAAUGAUGGUAUCUGGGGAAUAAGCAUCAGCUAACUCUAUGCCAGUAGCCACGGUAAUACAGAUGAUCCAAGCGUUAUCCGAAAUGAUUGGGUGUAAAGCGUUUGUAGGUGGCAUUUUCAGUCCACCGUCAAAUCCUAGGGCUCAACCCUGGAUAGGCGGUGGAAACUACCAAGCUGGAGUAUGAUAGGGGCAGAGGGAAAUUUUGGCGGAGUAGUGAAAUGCGUACAAAUUAUAAAGAACACCAACGGUGAAAGCACUGUGAUCGGCCGACACUGACACUGAGAGACGAAAGCUAGGGGAGCAAAUGGGAUUAGAUACCCCAGUAGUCCUAGCCGUAAAUAAUAGAUACUAGGCGCUCUGCAUAUCGACCCGUGCAGUGUUGUAGCUAAUGCGUUAAGUAUCCUGCCUGGAGAGUCCGUUCGCAAGAAUGAAACUCAAAGGAAUUGACGGGGUCCCGCACAAGCAGUGGAGUAUGUGAUUUAUAUCGAUGCAAAGCGAAGAACCUUACCAAGGCUUGAUAUGCCGCGAAUCCUCUUGAAAGAGAGGGGUGCCUUCGGGAACACGGACACAAAUGGUGCAUGGUUGUCAUUAACUCGUGUCGUAAGGUGUUGGGUUAUGUCCCACAACAAGCGCAACCCUCAUGUUUAGUUGCCACGUUGAGUUUGGAACCCCGAGAGGACUGCCGGUGAUAAGCUGGAGGAAGGUGAGCAUGACGUCAAUUCAUCAUGCCCCUUAGGCCCUGGGCGACACACGUGUUACAAUGGCCAGGACAAAGGGUCGCGAUCCCGCAAGGGUGAGUUAACUCCAAAAAGCCAGAUUGUAGGCUACAACUCGACUACAUGAAGCCGAAAUCACUAGUAAUUUUCGGUCAGUCAUACGGCAAUGAAUUUGUUCCCAGGCCUUGUACACACCGUCCGUCACACUAUGGAAGUUGGCCUUGCACGAAGUCGUUACCCUAACCGCAAGGGGGGAUGCCGAAGGCAGGGCUAGUGACUGGAGUGAAGUCGUAACAAGGUAGCCGUACUGGAAGGUGUGGCUG
This 1456-nucleotide ribosomal RNA is filed under the name Geum urbanum. RNAcentral's name for it is "bacterial SSU rRNA". It matches the Rfam family "Bacterial small subunit ribosomal RNA". The record is from RNAcentral. Lineage: Eukaryota; Viridiplantae; Streptophyta; Magnoliopsida; Rosales; Rosaceae.